GAUGAAGAACGUAGCGAAAUGCGAUACUUGGUGUGAAUUGCAGAAUCCCGUGAACCAUCGAGUCUUUGAACGCAAGUUGCGCCCGAAGCCAUUAGGCCGAGGGCACGCCUGCCUGGGCGUCACACGUCGUUGCCCCCCCAUCUACUCCUUCGGGAUUGCGGGGGGCGGAUGAUGGCCUCCCGUGCGCCUCGUCGCGCGGUUGGCAUAAAUGCCAAGUCCUCGGCGACGCACGCCACGACAAUCGGUGGUUGCGAAACCUCGGUUGCCCGUCGUGUGCGGUCGUCGCGCAUCGAGGGCUCGAAAAAAUUGCCGGGCUCCGGCUCGGCUUUCAACGCGACCCCAGGUCGGGCGGGGUUACCCGCUGAAUUUAAGCAUAUCAAUAAGCGGAGGA
This 391-nucleotide unclassified non-coding RNA is filed under the name soil metagenome. RNAcentral describes it as "partial contains 5.8S ribosomal RNA, internal transcribed spacer 2, and large subunit ribosomal RNA". The stretch from base 1 to 122 matches the Rfam family "5.8S ribosomal RNA", at positions 35 to 154 of the family's 154-position model. The record is from RNAcentral.